CAGUCGCCGCGGUAAUACGUAGGUGGCAAGCGUUGUCCGGAAUUAUUGGGCGUAAAGGGCUCGCAGGCGGUUUCUUAAGUCUGAUGUGAAAGCCCCCGGCUCAACCGGGGAGGGUCAUUGGAAACUGGGAAACUUGAGUGCAGAAGAGGAGAGUGGAAUUCCACGUGUAGCGGUGAAAUGUGUAGAGAUGUGGAGGAACACCAGUGGCGAAGGCGACUCUCUGGUCUGUAACUGACGCUGAGGAGCGAAAGCGUGGGGAGCGAACAGGAUUAGAUACCCCUGUAGUCCCUGUCUCUUAUAC
This 301-nucleotide ribosomal RNA is filed under the name uncultured bacterium. RNAcentral's name for it is "partial 16S ribosomal RNA". It matches the Rfam family "Bacterial small subunit ribosomal RNA", at positions 509 to 807 of the family's 1533-position model. The record is from RNAcentral.